GGUGGGGUCGUAAACUCCGCCCGGACACACACUCUCGCGCGCACACACACACCCCCACCCGCUGCCGUGGCAACCGCGCUGCGCCGACUCGCCCGUGUUUACAUAAGUUUCCAGAUACCGUUGUAGCGACCUCUGCGUAAUUCGGCGGUCGUUUGAAUGCGGUUCAAAAGGAAAACGUCUUUUGUGUUAUUGAUAAAAUCCAACCUCUGCGUCCCCCCUCCCCCCCCACCGCAGGGUAAAUCAUAAUUGGAAACCUUUUUAACUGUUUCCUUUUUUAAAAAAGUUUCUUCCUGAAAUCCAAGUCAUCUCCAACUAUGGGUAUCCUGGACUAACGCCGCAAGGUAGCGAAAAGUCUGUCCAGAGUGGGCGAUGCUGACCCGGACAGGCGGGCCGGGAAAGGAUAGAUAGUAUUCAUCUGUACAUUGGCAGGCCCCUCUCGACAAACCAAAAGACCGGAGGAUAAAAGUUGUGUGAAUGCAGUUCCACAUAAAAAUGAGCCGCUUACCCUGACCGUGCGUGACCCGGCAAAGCGUGUUUCACCAGGAGUGACAAGAAACAGAACCGCGACGCCCACAGCGUCAGGGCAGCCCCAGGGGGUCAUGGAUGAGGAAGACGUAGCAGAGAUAAACACCUCUGUUUCUGAUCGGACCUGUCUGUCAUGCCGGCAAGACUGCAAAGAACAGAGCACUAAGAAGACAGCAAUCGCCUGCAGGGAGCGACAGGGUCCCACCUACCUCCAGGAUCACAUAGAC
This is a long non-coding RNA of Lepisosteus oculatus (spotted gar), 752 nucleotides long. RefSeq lists it as uncharacterized. Lineage: Eukaryota; Metazoa; Chordata; Actinopteri; Semionotiformes; Lepisosteidae. The record is from RefSeq and is a predicted model, not a curated record.